GAUGAACGCUGGCGGCGUGCCUAAUACAUGCAAGUCGAACGCACAGCGAAAGGUGCUUGCACCUUUCAAGUGAGUGGCGAACGGGUGAGUAACACGUGGAUAACCUACCUCAAGGUUGGGGAUAACAUUUGGAAACAGAUGCUAAUACCGAAUAAAACUUCGUAUCGCAUGAUACAAGGUUAAAAGGCGCUACGGCGUCACCUAGAGAUGGAUCCGCGGUGCAUUAGUUAGUUGUGGGUAAAGGCUACAAGACAAUGAUGCAUAGCCGAGUUGAGAGACUGAUCGGCC
RNAcentral lists this ribosomal RNA (288 nucleotides) under uncultured bacterium. RNAcentral describes it as "partial 16S ribosomal RNA". It matches the Rfam family "Bacterial small subunit ribosomal RNA", at positions 28 to 309 of the family's 1533-position model. The record is from RNAcentral.